CUACGGGUGGCUGCAGGCGAGAAAACUUUGCAAUGUGCGAAAGCACGACAAGGUUAAUCCGAGUGGUCUCUGCUAAAGGGACCUUUUGACAGUCCUAGAAACACUGUUGAAUAAGGGGUGGGCAAGUUCUGGUGUCAGCCGCCGCGGUAAAACCAGCACCUCAAGUGGUCAGGAUGAUUAUUGGGCCUAAAGCAUCCGUAGCCUGCUUUGUCAGUUUUCGGUUAAAUCCAUACGCUCAACGUAUGGGCUGCCGGGAAUACUGCAAAGCUAGGGAGUGGGAGAGGUAGACGGUACUCGGUAGGAAGGGGUAAAAUCCUUUGAUCUAUUGAUGACCACCUGUGGCGAAGGCGGUCUACCAGAACACGUCCGACGGUGAGGGAUGAAAGCUGGGGGAGCAAACCGGAUUAGAUACCCUCGUAGUC
RNAcentral lists this ribosomal RNA (422 nucleotides) under uncultured archaeon. Its description in RNAcentral is "partial 16S ribosomal RNA". It matches the Rfam family "Archaeal small subunit ribosomal RNA", at positions 323 to 746 of the family's 1478-position model. The record is from RNAcentral.